This 510-nucleotide ribosomal RNA is filed under the name uncultured bacterium. Its description in RNAcentral is "partial 16S ribosomal RNA". It matches the Rfam family "Bacterial small subunit ribosomal RNA", at positions 28 to 507 of the family's 1533-position model. The record is from RNAcentral.
GACGAACGCUGGCGGCGUGCUUAACACAUGCAAGUCGAACGAAGAGCGAUGGAAGCUUGCUUCUCUCAAUCUUAGUGGCGAACUGGUGAGUAACGCGUAAUCAACCUGCCCUUCAGAGGGGGACAACAGUUGGAAACGACUGCUAAUACCGCAUACGAUCUAAUCUCGGCAUCGAGGAUAGAUGAAAGGUGGCCUCUACAUGUAAGCUAUCACUGAAGGAGGGGAUUGCGUCUGAUUAGCUAGUUGGAGGGGUAACGGCCCACCAAGGCGAUGAUCAGUAGACGGUCUGAGAGGAUGAACGGCCACAGUGGGACUGAGACACGGCCCAGACUCCUACGGGAGGCAGCAGUGGGGAAUCUUCCGCAAUGGACGAAAGGCUGACGGAGCAACGCCGCGUGAGCGAUGACGGCCUUCGGGUUGUAAAGCUCUGUUAAUCGGGACGAAAGGCCUUCUUGCGAAUAGUGAGAAGGAUUGACGGUACCGGAAUAGAAAGCCACGGCUAACUACGUG